GAUGAAGAACGUAGCGAAAUGCGAUAAGUGAUGUGAAUUGCAGAAUUCAGUGAAUCAUCGAGUCUUUGAACGCACAUUGCGCCCCCUGGUAUUCCGGGGGGCAUGCCUGUCCGAGCGUCAUUGCUGCCCUCAAGCACGGCUUGUGUGUUGGGCCUCCGUCCUCCUCCCGGGGGACGGGCCCGAAAGGCAGCGGCGGCACCGCGUCCGGUCCUCGAGCGUAUGGGGCUUCGUCACCCGCUCUUGUAGGCCCGGCCGGCGCUUGCCGACACAUCAAUCUUUUUUCCAGGUUGACCUCGGAUCAGGUAGGGAUACCCGCUGAACUUAAGCAUAUCAAUAAGCGGAGA
RNAcentral lists this unclassified non-coding RNA (344 nucleotides) under soil metagenome. RNAcentral describes it as "partial contains 5.8S ribosomal RNA, internal transcribed spacer 2, and large subunit ribosomal RNA". The stretch from base 1 to 120 matches the Rfam family "5.8S ribosomal RNA", at positions 35 to 154 of the family's 154-position model. The record is from RNAcentral.